Molecule: ribosomal RNA, 711 nt
Filed under: uncultured bacterium
Lineage: Bacteria
Description: bacterial SSU rRNA
Rfam family: Bacterial small subunit ribosomal RNA
Source: RNAcentral
GGNGAGUAACACGNGGGUAACCUNCCUGUAAGACUGGGAUAACUCCGGGAAACCGGGGCUAAUACCGGAUGGUUGUUUGAACCGCAUGGUUCAAACAUAAAAGGUGGCUUCGGCUACCACUUACAGAUGGACCCGCGGCGCAUUAGCUAGUUGGUGAGGUAAUGGCUCACCAAGGCAACGAUGCGUAGCCGACCUGAGAGGGUGAUCGGCCACACUGGGACUGAGACACGGCCCAGACUCCUACGGGAGGCAGCAGUAGGGAAUCUUCCGCAAUGGACGAAAGNCUGACGGAGCAACGCCGCGUGAGUGAUGAAGGUUUUCGGAUCGUAAAGCUCUGUUGUCAGGGAAGAACAAGUACCGUUCGAAUAGGGCGGUACCUUGACGGUACCUAACCAGAAAGCCACGGCUAACUACGUGCCAGCAGCCGCGGUAAUACGUAGGUGGCAAGCGUUGUCCGGAAUUAUUGGGCGUAAAGGGCUCGCAGGCGGUUUCUUAAGUCUGAUGUGAAAGCCCCCGGCUCAACCGGGGAGGGUCAUUGGAAACUGGGGAACUUGAGUGCANAANANGAGAGUGGAAUUCCACGUGUAGCGGUGAAAUGCGUAGAGAUGUGGAGGAACACCAGUGGCGAAGGCGACUCUCUGGUCUGUAACUGACGCUGANGAGCGAAAGCGUGNGGAGCGAACAGGAUUANAUACCCUGGUAGUCCACGCC